Molecule: long non-coding RNA, 3973 nt
Organism: Oncorhynchus tshawytscha (Chinook salmon)
Lineage: Eukaryota; Metazoa; Chordata; Actinopteri; Salmoniformes; Salmonidae
Source: Ensembl
AGUCACUCUCACAGACACACGCACACAGUCACUCUCACAGACACACGCACACAGUCACUCUCACAGACACACGCACACAGUCACUCUCACAGACACAGUCACUCACAGACUCACAGACACAAUCACUCUCACAGACACACAGACAGUCACUCUCACAGACACCCAGACACACACACAGUCACUCUCAGACACACACACACAGUCGCUCUCACAGACACACACAGUCGCUCUCACAGACACACACAGUCGCUCUCACAGACACACAGUCGCUCUCACACACACACAGUCGCUCUCACAGACACACAGUCGCUCUCACAGACACACAGUCGCUCUCAGACACACACAGUCGCUCUCACAGACACACACAGUCGCUCUCUCACACACACAGUCGCUCUCUCACACACACAGUCGCUCUCACAGACACACACACACACACAGAGGUACUCUCUCACAGACACACAGAAGUACUCUCUCACACACACACAGAGGUACUCUCUCACACACACAGAGGUACUCUCUCUCACACACACACAGAGGUACUCUCUCACACACACACACAGAGGUACUCUCUCUCACACACACACACAGAGGUACUCUCUCUCACACACACACACACACACAGAGGUACUCUCUCUCUCACACACACACACACAGAGUCACUCUCUCACGGACACACACAGAGGUACUCUCUCACGGACACACACAGAGGUAGUCUCACGGACACACACACAGGUACUCUCACGGACACACACAGAGGUACUCUCACAGUCGCGCGUGCACACAGAGACAGACGGACAGUCGCGCACAGACACAGACAGUCGCGCACAGACACAGACAGUCGCGCACAGACACAGACAGUCGCGCACAGACACAGACAGUCGCGCACAGACACAGACAGUCGCACAGACACACAGUCACUCGCACAGACACACACAGUCACUCGCACAGACACACACAGUCACUCGCAGACAGCACACACAGUCACUCGCACAGACACACAGUCACUCGCACAGACACACACAGUCACUCGCACAGACACACAGUCACUCGCACAGACACACACAGUCACUCGCACAGACACACAGUCACUCGCACAGACACACAGUCACUCGCACAGACACACACAGUCACUCGCACAGACACACACAGUCACUCGCACAGACACACACAGUCACUCGCACAGACACACACAGUCACUCGCACAGACACACACAGUCACUCGCACAGACACACACAGUCACUCGCACAGACACACACAGUCACUCUCACACAGUCACUCUCACAGACACACAGUCACUCUCACACAGUCACUCUCACAGACACACACACACACACACACAGAGGUACUCUCACAGACACACACACACACACACACACAGUCACACAGUCACAGACACAGUCACAGUCACUCACACAGGUACACACAGUCACUCACACACACACACAGUCACUCUCACACACACACACAGUCACUCUCACACACACACACAGUCACUCUCACACACACACACAGUCACUCUCACACACACAGUCACUCUCACACACACACACAGUCACUCUCACACACAGUCACUCCCACAGACACACAGACACACAGUCACACAGUCACACACACACACAGAGGUACUCUCACGGACACACACACACACAGUCACUCACAGACACAGACACACAGUCAGUCAGUCAGUCACUCUCUCUCACACAAACGGUCACUCACACACACACACACACACACACACACACACACACACACACACACACACACACACACACACACACACACACACACAGGUACUCUCACAGUCGCGCGUGCACACACACGCAGACAGUCGCGCGUGCACACAGAGACAGACGGACAGUCGCGCGCGCACGCACAGAGACAGACGGACAGUCGCGCGCGCGCACGCACAGAGACAGAAGGACAGGCGCGCGCGCACACAGGCGCGGACAGGCGCGCGGGCGCGGACAGUCGCGGACAGUCGCGGACAGUCGCGCGCGGACACGCAGUCACUCUCACAGACGCGCACACACACAGUCACUCUCACACUCUCACAGACACACACAGACACACACAGACACACACAGCCAGGCAGUCACUCUCACACAGACGGUCACUCUCACACACACAGAGGUACUCUCACAGUCGCGUGCGCACACACAGUCGCGUGUCGUGGGCACACAGAGACAGACGGACAGUCGCGAGCGUGCGCACACAGAGACAGGCACACACAGCCAGGCGCGUGCGCACGCGCACACACACACACACACACACACACACAGCCAGGCAUGCGCGCGCAGACACAGACACAGUCACAGACACAGGACAGUCAGACCCCCCUCCACUGUCACACUCUGUCUCUCUGUAGUGAUGAUCGAGCACCCCAGUGCCCCUCAAUUGAAGACGUUAACCCUAGAGCUAAGCAAAGAAUAGCCACGGACCCCACCCCCUUCCCAAAGACUUAGGACAGGAUAGGGCGGGCUUUAGGCAGGAAGAGGAUUCUGUGACUGACUGAAACAUUUGAUUACUUUUUCCUUUUUUUCCCCUUUUCACUUCUCUUGAGUGGAGUUAUUGAUUUGUAUGUAUCUAUAAACAAAAAGGAAAUUUGUACAAAAUAUACUUAUACCGCAAAACUCGUACAUAAAGAAGUAUACAAUUGUUUUGCAAUUUUGCUCUAAUUCAGGGGAGAGCAAAAUAAAAAGCAACCUGAAGUUGGAGGAAAAUACCUCCGGGUAUUGUAAUGGAAUAUCUCUACUGUAGCCCUGUUCCCCAGAGGACAUUAAAUCCUGCUGCACAAGUGAUGUCACGUCCUGUGGAAGGGCGGGUAGUGAUGUCUCUGUUGGGAUAUCCAACAAAGUAGUUGACAGGUGAAUAUCACCUGAAUUCUUCAACACCAGAACAGUCAAACUCAAACAAACCUAUAUUUGGAAAUGCUCAGUGCUAUCUGGGAUCCUUGGGACGUGCCUACCCUUAACCCUAAUCUUAAACAUAACCCUUACCUAUUUUAAAUGUCUACUUCAAUGGGGGGGUAUUGACGUCCCAAGGAUUCCGGCUUGCACAGACCAAUUGCCAAAUCUGGGAUUUUUUGGGGGUUUCUCUUUUUAAAUUCUCCCAUUCUUUUAAAAAUGUACUUUAUGUUGAAAUUGAAAAAUAUCUACUUGGCUUGUUCUGGUCCAGGCUGUGGAGCUUCCAGAUUUGCCAUUUUUACUUUUAUGAUUUCGUUUUAUGCACACGUCUGAGAGGUAGUUUUUUUUCUCUCUUCCUGCGGAAAGAGACAGAUACUGAAGACGGGAGUGAGGAUAGAACACGACCUCUGACCUUUGCAGAACUUAACUUUUUUUGUGGUUUUUAUUUUAUUUUGUCACAUCAACAACCUGAAUAAUUGUACAAAAUGCAAUGUGUAUCUCUUAAACAAGUCUCUUGAGAAUAUACAAAUAUAUAUUUCCAUAAUGCCUGUACAAAGCUGCUGCAGCUGACAAGUCAUUGUUGGAACUGGACUCACUCUGCAGAACGAUAACCUACAUACUAUCAAAGACGGACGGAUGGGGUGUUCAGUUUUAAAAAAUGUGUUUUGUCUUUAUUUUUAAACAUUCAUAUGUAUUAUGAUGACAUGCUGAUGAACCUGCUUGUCUAUCUGCAGGGACUAACUGUCAUUUUACCAUCCCAGAGCCGUCCCAGUUGGUCUCCAGGACCUAGGUCUCUGGUCUGGACUUGUUUCCCUCUGUUUAUGACCUGUUCAAACAGUGCACAGCAAAAGCAGGGAAGUUGUUAUUUUCAAUGGAAGCCUGGCAGCAGUAGCAAUGAGGCAUUUCUAGGUGAAGUCUCACCCACGAAAAGUAGGUCCGGUCAUCUGGUCACUACUGUAGAUGGUCAAAUAAGUUGCUACGCUGCCACCACAAGGCAUAAUACUCUUUUGCAGCUGUGUGUUUGAAUGGGCCAUUAGGCUGCUAACUACUGAUAGACAGUGGGUGGGGG